This 757-nucleotide ribosomal RNA is filed under the name Salmonella enterica. RNAcentral describes it as "partial 23S ribosomal RNA". It matches the Rfam family "Bacterial large subunit ribosomal RNA", at positions 462 to 1221 of the family's 2925-position model. Lineage: Bacteria; Pseudomonadati; Pseudomonadota; Gammaproteobacteria; Enterobacterales; Enterobacteriaceae. The record is from RNAcentral.
AAGGCUAAAUACUCCUGACUGACCGAUAGUGAACCAGUACCGUGAGGGAAAGGCGAAAAGAACCCCGGCGAGGGGAGUGAAAAAGAACCUGAAACCGUGUACGUACAAGCAGUGGGAGCACCCUUUGGGUGUGACUGCGUACCUUUUGUAUAAUGGGUCAGCGACUUAUAUUCUGUAGCAAGGUUAACCGAAUAGGGGAGCCGGAGGGAAACCGAGUCUUAACCGGGCGUUAAGUUGCAGGGUAUAGACCCGAAACCCGGUGAUCUAGCCAUGGGCAGGUUGAAGGUUGGGUAACACUAACUGGAGGACCGAACCGACUAAUGUUGAAAAAUUAGCGGAUGACCUGUGGCUGGGGGUGAAAGGCCAAUCAAACCGGGAGAUAGCUGGUUCUCCCCGAAAGCUAUUUAGGUAGCGCCUCGUGAAUUCAUCUCCGGGGGUAGAGCACUGUUUCGGCUAGGGGGCCAUCCCGGCUUACCAACCCGAUGCAAACUGCGAAUACCGGAGAAUGUUAUCACGGGAGACACACGGCGGGUGCUAACGUCCGUCGUGAAGAGGGAAACAACCCAGACCGCCAGCUAAGGUCCCAAAGUCAUGGUUAAGUGGGAAACGAUGUGGGAAGGCCCAGACAGCCAGGAUGUUGGCUUAGAAGCAGCCAUCAUUUAAAGAAAGCGUAAUAGCUCACUGGUCGAGUCGGCCUGCGCGGAAGAUGUAACGGGGCUAAACCAUGCACCGAAGCUGCGGCAGCGACACUGUGUGU